Molecule: transfer RNA, 72 nt
Filed under: Stegodyphus mimosarum
Lineage: Eukaryota; Metazoa; Arthropoda; Arachnida; Araneae; Eresidae
Description: tRNA-Thr for anticodon CGU
Rfam family: tRNA
About the family: Transfer RNA (tRNA) molecules are approximately 80 nucleotides in length. Their secondary structure includes four short double-helical elements and three loops (D, anti-codon, and T loops). Further hydrogen bonds mediate the characteristic L-shaped molecular structure. tRNAs have two regions of fundamental functional importance: the anti-codon, which is responsible for specific mRNA codon recognition, and the 3' end, to which the tRNAs corresponding amino acid is attached (by aminoacyl-tRNA synthetases). tRNAs cope with the degeneracy of the genetic code in two manners: having more than one tRNA (with a specific anti-codon) for a particular amino acid; and 'wobble' base-pairing, i.e. permitting non-standard base-pairing at the 3rd anti-codon position.
Source: Rfam by way of RNAcentral
GCCUUCGUGGUGUAAUGGUAGCACACUCGACGCGUAUUCGAGAGGUCCAGGGUUCGAGUCUCGGCGAGGGCA